GACAGAGGGUGCAAACGUUGUUCGGAAUUACUGGGCGUAAAGCGCGUGCAGGCGGCCUUGCAAGUCGGACGUGAAAUCCCACGGCUCAACCGUGGAAGUGCAUUCGAAACUGGCAGGCUAGAGUACUAAAGAGGGUCGCGGAAUUCCCGGUGUAGAGGUGAAAUUCGUAGAUAUCGGGAGGAACACCGGUGGCGAAGGCGGCGACCUGGGUAGAUACUGACGCUGAGGUGCGAAAGCGUGGGGAGCAAACAGG
RNAcentral lists this ribosomal RNA (253 nucleotides) under uncultured bacterium. RNAcentral's name for it is "partial 16S ribosomal RNA". It matches the Rfam family "Bacterial small subunit ribosomal RNA", at positions 524 to 776 of the family's 1533-position model. The record is from RNAcentral.